Molecule: ribosomal RNA, 305 nt
Filed under: uncultured bacterium
Lineage: Bacteria
Description: bacterial SSU rRNA
Rfam family: Bacterial small subunit ribosomal RNA
Source: RNAcentral
GGCCCUACGGGAGGCAGCAGUCGGGAAUAUUGCGCAAUGGAGGAAACUCUGACGCAGUGACGCCGCGUAUCGGAAGAAGGUUUUCGGAUUGUAAACUAUUGUCGUUAGGGAAGAUAAAAGACAGUACCUAAGGAGGAAGCUCCGGCUAACUACGUGCCAGCAGCCGCGGUAAUACGUAGGGAGCAAGCGUUAUCCGGAUUUAUUGGGUUUAAAGGGUGCGUAGGCGGAUUGAUAAGUUAGAGGUGAAAUGUCCGAGCUCAACUCGGGAACUGCCUCUAAUACUGUUGAUCUAGAGAGUAGAUGCG